Phascolarctos cinereus (koala) is the source of this 507-nucleotide non-coding RNA. NCBI's taxonomy places the organism in Eukaryota, Metazoa, Chordata, Mammalia, Diprotodontia, Phascolarctidae. The record is from RefSeq and is a predicted model, not a curated record.
CCAAACACCAUGCUGGGGGCCAGGUCUGCAAUGAUGAAAGCAAAAGUCCCUGCCGCUGAAGGAGUGUGAAGUCAACUGAAAUGAUGUCACAUGAGGAAUGACUGAAGAACUGAAGAUAUUUGACUUAGUAAAGAAAAGACCCAGAGGGGACUUGGACUCUGUUACAGUCUUCAGUCAUCUCAUAAUCUUCUGGGAAACCUGCUAUUCUGUCUACUUUCCACCAGGAGAGGGAGCCAUGGGAAAUGGACCUGGUGUCUGAGGCUGCAUCAAGCUAGUUGCUCCAGAGGGCUGGUGCCUUUCUGAGUUCAACUGCUGAACCCCAAGUGGUAGACCCCUGAGCUCCUGGGAUCUCACAAGACCUUAUACUAAAGGAAAGAAAGCACACACAGGAGGGAUGGGCUGGAGUAGAUGACCCUUGAGGGCCUUUUCUACUUUGAUUUUGCAUGAAACUAUAUGCCUCAAACUAUACAAUGUUGUCAUGUGUUUUACUGGAAAAAGAGGGGACCC